UCCAUUCCGCACAUUCCCCCGCGACAAC
Molecule: non-coding RNA, 28 nt
Filed under: Bombyx mori (domestic silkworm)
Lineage: Eukaryota; Metazoa; Arthropoda; Insecta; Lepidoptera; Bombycidae
Source: RNAcentral